UUCAUGUUUCCUAUUCGCACAAAAUCUGCC
RNAcentral lists this non-coding RNA (30 nucleotides) under Rattus norvegicus (Norway rat). Lineage: Eukaryota; Metazoa; Chordata; Mammalia; Rodentia; Muridae. The record is from RNAcentral.